Molecule: long non-coding RNA, 1026 nt
Organism: Cyprinodon variegatus (sheepshead minnow)
Lineage: Eukaryota; Metazoa; Chordata; Actinopteri; Cyprinodontiformes; Cyprinodontidae
Exons: 3
Source: RefSeq, a predicted model, not a curated record
UUAUGAUCCUACAUGACAUAUAAUCCUGUUUGUUUCUAGGCUUCAUAUUCAUUAACUGCACCAUCAAUGGGACAACAAUAGCUAAAUGGGUGUAUCAAGAAAAUAACACCCUGUGUGUUGAACCAACAACUGUCCCUCCAACAACUAAACAUAGUAGUGUGGGUAAGGAGACACAGUCAAUUUCCUUACCUCAUAAUCCUGAGAACCAUAAUCAACCUUGGUACAUUAGGCUAUUGCCAAUAAUAGCUGGCGUUCUCACAGCAUUGGUAAUUAUCUUGAUGGUCUGCAUCGCAUUCAUCUGUUACUUCAAGAAAAAGAAAAGCCCCAGAGCGGUGGAGGAAGAUGACCAGGAACUGACCUAUGCUGAUGUUAGGGUUGUGAAAAAUCAGGGAAAGAAAGUGGAGCUAAGUGCGGACGUUGAUGUGGAGUACGGCCAGGUCAAGUUUUCAAAGAGACAGAGACCAGAGCGGGCUAACCCAAUAGUGGAGGAUACUUUAUAUGCACAAGUAAACAAAGGAAGGUGAUUUAAAAUGUCCAACAAGCCUAUUUCUGCAUGUUACCUAAAAGACUUUUCUUGGAUUACCUGUUAAAAAUACAAGUCAGGAGCUUUUUAAUGGAGGCAUGGGCAGCUGUCUCGCCUUCCACACAGUCUGGGCCUCAAAUUCCCCACCUUAUAUCCUCUUUCUGUCUUUUACACCGAUGAAUGAAGGACAGUAUUACCACAAAAAAAAAAAAAAAACUUUAACAGAGUGACUUAUUAUACCUGAAGCUGCUUUUUUGUCAAAGCAUCGAUUAAUUUGUGUUUGAACUCAUCAUAAAAGCGAUGCCUGCUUCUUUAUGAUAAAAGUUUUUGAGCUACAACAUGUAAAAAAAACCCACUUGAAAUGAAAUUUUUUCAGUUGUUUUUAUUUUUAAAUUGUAUUUACAUUAGUAAAUUAUUGUUACAUCAACACAUUAAAAUAUCUUUAUGUAAUACUUUUUAAUUUAAUACCUGUUUGAUAAAUAGUACUUGUAAAUAAUACUACC